GUAGGUGGCAAGCGUUGUCCGGAAUUAUUGGGCGUAAAGCGCGCGCAGGGCGGUUCUUUAAGUCUGAUGUGAAAGCCCACGGCUCAACCGUGGAGGGUCAUUGGAAACUGGAGAACUUGAGUACAGAAGAGGAAAGCGGAAUUCCACGUGUAGCGGUGAAAUGCGUAGAGAUGUGGAGGAACACCAGUGGCGAAGGCGGCUUUCUGGUCUGUAACUGACGCUGAGGCGCGAAAGCGUGGGGAGCAAACAGGAUUAGAUACCCUGGUAGUCCACGCCGUAAACGAUGAGUGCUAAGUGUUAGGGGGGUUUCCGCCCCUUAGUGCUGCAGCUAACGCAUUAAGCACUCCGCCUGGGGGGUACGGCCGCAAAGGCUG
This 374-nucleotide ribosomal RNA is filed under the name uncultured organism. RNAcentral's name for it is "partial 16S ribosomal RNA". It matches the Rfam family "Bacterial small subunit ribosomal RNA", at positions 527 to 896 of the family's 1533-position model. The record is from RNAcentral.